Molecule: ribosomal RNA, 254 nt
Filed under: uncultured bacterium
Lineage: Bacteria
Description: partial 16S ribosomal RNA
Rfam family: Bacterial small subunit ribosomal RNA
Source: RNAcentral
UACGUAGGGUGCAAGCGUUAUCCGGAAUUAUUGGGCGUAAAGAGCUCGUAGGCGGUUUGUCGCGUCUGCUGUGAAAACUGGGGGCUCAACCCCCAGCCUGCAGUGGGUACGGGCAGACUAGAGUGCGGUAGGGGAGAUUGGAAUUCCUGGUGUAGCGGUGGAAUGCGCAGAUAUCAGGAGGAACACCGAUGGCGAAGGCAGAUCUCUGGGCCGUAACUGACGCUGAGAAGCGAAAGCAUGGGGGAGCGAACAGG